ACGUAUGGUGCAAGCGUUAUCCGGAUUUACUGGGUGUAAAGGGUGCGUAGGUGGCAAGGCAAGUCUGAAGUGAAAAUCCGGGGCUCAACCCCGGAACUGCUUUGGAAACUGUUUAGCUGGAGUACAGGAGAGGUAAGUGGAAUUCCUAGUGUAGCGGUGAAAUGCGUAGAUAUUAGGAGGAACACCAGUGGCGAAGGCGAAUUACUGGACUGCUACUGACACUGAGGCACGAAAGCGUGGGGAGCAAACAG
Molecule: ribosomal RNA, 251 nt
Filed under: uncultured bacterium
Lineage: Bacteria
Description: partial 16S ribosomal RNA
Rfam family: Bacterial small subunit ribosomal RNA
Source: RNAcentral